Molecule: ribosomal RNA, 253 nt
Filed under: uncultured bacterium
Lineage: Bacteria
Description: partial 16S ribosomal RNA
Rfam family: Bacterial small subunit ribosomal RNA
Source: RNAcentral
GACGAACCUUGCUAACGUUAUUCGGAAUUACUGGGCUUAAAGGGUGCGUAGGCGGUGCAGAAAGUUGGGUGUGAAAGCCCUCGGCUCAACCGAGGAAUUGCGCCCAAAACUGCUGCACUAGAGGAAGACAGAGGUACGCGGAACUUAGGGUGGAGCGGUGAAAUGCGUUGAUAUCCUAAGGAACACCGGUGGCGAAGGCGGGUCUCUGGGCAACAACUGACGCUGAGGAGCGAAAGCGUGGGGAGCAAACAGG